Pseudopipra pipra is the source of this 4934-nucleotide long non-coding RNA. RefSeq lists it as uncharacterized. The transcript is spliced from 3 exons. The record is from RefSeq and is a predicted model, not a curated record. NCBI's taxonomy places the organism in Eukaryota, Metazoa, Chordata, Aves, Passeriformes, Pipridae.
AAGACUGCAACCUGGAGGUAAUUUCUUCCACCACUUUUCACUUACUUGCACAGUCUUCAGUCAUCUUAUGUUUAUUACAAACCAUUAUUUUUACAAAAGAAAGGAGAAAAAUAGAAAGAUACACAGUUUACUGAACAUAAAAAUACGUGAGACAUGGAAAACAAAACUGAACUCCUUGCUAAUCAUAUGUAAAAAGAACAUUUUAGGCCUAACAGGGAAUGAUAAUGCCUCUUUACGGCGGAUUAGUGGGAAUGGGGGAGACCUCCAGGCCUUAGGCUGCUAGCCCCAUUACCUGAGAGGUGAAUGCUCUUCCCCCCACCCCUGCACGUGGUCCGGCGACCCCACAAGGAGCACACACAGACCACCUGGGAGGGACGGACGAAAGAGGAAGUUUAUUGUGGGGUUGGGGUUUAUAAGGCUUUUAGGAGGGUCAAAGGGGACCAAUCACAAGUUCAGGGUCACACAGAAAAAACCAUCAGGUAAAGGGUCAAACAGCCAAUAGGAAGGGGUUAACAAAGGACCAAUGAGAAACACCUCAGGGCACCUUCCCAGGACACCUUGUGUGAGAGACAAUAGUCCUUCACAGGGGGUGUCAGGAAGAAGGAGACAGUGACACUGCAGAAAAUACAAAAGCCAUUUUGAAACAUGUUUAAACCACAGUAAAAACUUCUGUCUCCAUAAGGUUUGGGCUAUUUUCCUCACCAGUCCAUCUCUGACAGGACUUUUUCCAUCCUGCAUAUGGCAAAUCCAUUGCCACACCUCUUCAAAACUAGGGGUUUAUAGUUAAAUCAAAUAAAAUGAAAGAAAAUCCUACUGAUUAAUAACAGUAAAUAUCGUGUAAAGACAUUUUGAUAAGUCACUUUCUCCUUCGUUAGUAGAAAACAACAGAUAAUACUUUUUUCCUGCUGUAUCAGAAACAGGAAGACUGGGGAGAAAAACUGAUAAAAGACUAAUAACAAUGAAGUCUCAUGCUUUCAGAUAUCCAUUAAUUACAGGCAGUGUCAGUAUGUAGGGUUUAGUUUUACUUUAUUUUGAUCAGUUUUGCUUAAUGACAGAAAAAAUACAAAGGACUUAUCACUGUAUUGUCCAUGUACUUUCACAUGAACAAGGCAACAUACAGAGGAAGACUAAAAUACCUGCGUUCCUAAGCAAACCUCCUUCUCAGCUGUUCUCUUCCACCUUCAUAUGCAGAAAGAGAUGUGGAAUAGUAUAGUCCAUUUCAAGGGGACUUUUUAUUUGGUACAUUCUCUAAGUACCUGGAAGCUUAUUGAGACUUUCAUACAAGUUGACAUAGGCUUGGGGCUACCCAAAGCUUAGGGGAUCAAAGCUGCCCUGAAUUAAUAUAAAAUACAUCAAACGUCAGUUCUUUCCCACUGGCAAAACUCUUGCCUUUGGGGACCAGCAUAGAAACAUUUGAAUUAGAACCAGCUCAUGCAAUAUCAUCAGGAGGUACAGACAGAGCAAUCUUAAAUUUGUCUGUAGUGGGCCUAGCUGAUGAUGGGAUUGGAGAAAAGAUGAAAGAACAGAGAUCAGAAAGGUAAGGGGGAUGAAACAGAUAACAUUACCAACACAAGAGGUCUUUCAGUCAGAUGUCUUGAAUUUAGGGCACUAGAUACAGAACUAGAAGUGUUCCAUCGUAGUGACUGCAGUCUUGUAAAUGACCUAAGAUGUAUUUUUUAAACCUUCUCAUUUUUUAAACAAAAUUAUUCUCCUUUAGUAAUGUAGCACAUUGACUUGUAAUUUUGUAGGGAACACACCACCUUGGUGUUGUUGUAGGUAUUGUUGACUUCAGCCUCUUAUUGUACAUUAUUUAGUCAAGAACAUUUACAUUUACAAAAGCUGCAUUUAAUCUCAUGACAUGAGAGUACAUGACAAGGGUGUUGAGAUGGUUUUUUAAGGUGUUUUUCCCCUAGGUAGGAAUCUUUAUGGACAAGAAAAUACUUGUGCUAUCUGUAAUGUAGUCCUACCAGUUUUAAAAAUUAAACGCAUGUAACUUGCCAUAAUUUCCUUCAUGAAUUUAUAUUUUCUUUAAAAUGGUCUAUGGAAAGGAGAAUGAGAUAGGUUAGCUUAAUAGUUGAGAGAGGGAGUGAGAAAGAGAGAAAGUAAUUUCAAUAUUAUGCCAUGCCUGCUGGGCUGGAUUUAUAAAAAUACUCACAAGCGUGGGUUUUCUUCUUCUGCAGUUAAUCCACUUCUGUGAGUGUCCUGUGCAGCAUCCUUCCACGUAAUAUGCAUUCUUAUUUGGUUCAUUAACUUCUCUUUCUAGAGGACAAUGCCAUAUAGUUGACAGCAAGGGAGCUUGUGAAGGAAAAAGACAGAUAAGCAGGAGCUUUCAUACAGGAAACAAUAGGAUUAGAUUUAUUUUUCAAAAGGAUACUUUGCAAAAGUCCAAAUGUACCCAAUACCUAGCUGAAGAGAGUACCAAGUUGUAUUCUUUAUAUCCUGUUUACCAGAUGUUGUCUGAUAUUCAGCAACAUACAGUUUCUAUAGCAACUGUUCGAAAAUAUGGUACAUAUAAUGUAAUAUUAAGAAAUUAAAAGGUCAAACUCCAGUACAUUUGAAAAAAAAAAAACGCCCAAAGCACCUUUCGUAAGUGUACAUGCACAGCUAGCGUCCUGCACUCAUAUAUGAGACAGGUGUUUUUGGAACCUUUCAAUGCAUGCACAGUUCACCUGAUAGAAUUUUGACAAAAUACAAAAGAAACAAAAGUAGUUAACAAUCUAAUAUGCUUGCAUUUGUGAAAAUUUGCACUGAGUUCAUCUGAGACUGAAAUCUAAGCCAAAGAUGCAUUUCCUCUCCACUUACUUGUUCAGAAAAGCCUAAGAUAAACAGACCAUGAAAAGGAGUAGCAGAACAUCUUAGGCAGCACACAAAGAGGAUUCUUUAUUGGGUUUUAGCUGUGUGCCUGAAGUCCAAUUAUAGCCCCAGUAAGAGUGUCUGCAAAGGAGCAUGAAACAUUGGAGUGUGUGAUGUAAUUAAGAAAGUCUGUGGCUUCAAACAGGGAUAUAUUCAGUACUUGCCGGUGAUAUAAUAACAUAAUGUGCAUUGAAAUAGUCACUGAUACAGUGUCCAGAGAUUCCUGCAGUGUGGAAAAAACAUGAUUUCUAACAUAGAAGUGAUACUUUUAUCUUGCAGUUGUUAUUUGAAUAUUAGCUCACAUAGAAUGAAUCUGAGUUAAUACACCAGAACUUACAGGGAAAAGUUUUACCUGAGGUCAAAACAUUGGAAAGCAACUAUGAUGAAAAAAUAAGAUCUUGGAAGAGAUGCCUUGAAGUGACAUAGAUGAGCUUUAGACGACACAGUAUGUUUUAAAAAAAUUUCAACCUUUCUGUAUGAUGAAAAGGAAAAUGUUCUUGUCUACUUUUGGAGCAGCAAGAAUCCUUCUGCAGUUUGGUUUUGUUUUGUUUUUUUUUUAGCUGUACAGAAUUAGAAUAUCUCCCAGGUGAAACUGAAGAAAACAAAUACUAUUUUAAGAGCAGUAUAUUCAUGAUAUGAACAUGCAAUACCUUCAUUCAUUUGACAUGGCCUGUGAGUUUUCAAUGUGUAGGAACAGAGGAUGAUAAUAAAUGGUGUAUUUAGGAGGAAAUUUUAGACAAUCCAAGCCUUCACUAAUACCAGUAAUGUCACUUCAUAUACAUGGUGGAUUUUUAAAGAACUUUAGUACCAGUCUGACCAAAGCCAACAUUUACAGGAACGUUGACUAAGGCAGUUAGAUCAGGUGAAUAUCGUGCAUGGAGAUGAUGGAUUAACUGACUGUUAGAAAGUCGAAAAAGGAUUCCCAGCCAUUAACCCCAUGCUCAGCAAUUCACACAAGAUGUUUUGAAGGCUCAAGUUUGAGCCAUGAAGAGCACUGUGUGCCAUAGGUGUGUUCUCCCAGAAACAGACACUGCAAUCCUAUCUCAGUUUUAAACUAAGUAUAAAUGCAUGCCAGAAUGUCCCUUUCUGAGUACAUAUCUGCAAAAGACCCAUGUUGCUGUCCCAGUUGUGUCCAAAGAAGAGGGAAGAAUCUUUAUUUGAUUUAGCUGGGCAAUGAUAUGUUUUCUACCCCUGGAGCAGGAUGGCAAAUUAGAUUGGCUCUGACAAAGCGAAGCAGACUCCCUGUGGCUCUGUGGUAAAGGGCAAGCCAGUACUGCUAAGUAUCAGUUCUUUUCUUUCAUCUUCAGCCACAGAGUGGAGAAUAGAGAGAUGCUUAAAUAUUAUAAUGGCUGCCUGAGGUGGGAGAAGUUCUCCGGUGGCACUACAGUCUCUGCAGAGACGAUGGUGACAACUGUUCUCAUGUCCUACAGCCUAAUCAGAGGACCAGGCAGGACUUCGGAGGAAUGAAGUGCAAAUACUGACACUUGUUGGAUGACUACCCAUCCUACUUAAGCCUUCGGGUUUUAUCAUUCACUGUAGAGGGACUUGCUUACAGAUCUGUGUGAUUGAAAAUGAUUGCACUUAAGUAAUCUUAACUGUUUUUUUAGCAAUUGUGGUACUCAGUUGAUUACUAAUUAAGAAAUGAAUGAAUGAAUGAAUAAAUAAGGGAUGUAUCCAAUUCACAGUCACUUGAAGAUCAAAAAUACACAAAUGAAAAUAAAGAGAGGAGUAAUUUUCACUGUAUUUGCCGUUACUAUUGAUGACUUCCUCUCAAAACUGCUCAAUUUUUUGUGGAAAAAAAUGAAGCCAUGGAAGUGAACUGCACCCCAAGAAACCCAUAUGGUAAAUGUGAAAGAGAGUAAUGUCUAAAAGAGAUACUGGUGCCUACAGUUUUGGGUAGCUCAACUGUGAGUUGGGGAGCUCAACUGUGAGUUGGGUAGCUCAACUCUGAGCUUAUAUGAGGUUAUGCACAAAAAUUGGUCAUUAUUACAAAGUGAAAUUGUUCUAACAAGCUUAAGUUAGCUGUGGUUCUGCAGUACAGGCUAUUGAUGUAUACAAAGGGUUGUUUACAGAAAACGGAA